This 470-nucleotide ribosomal RNA is filed under the name uncultured bacterium. RNAcentral describes it as "bacterial SSU rRNA". It matches the Rfam family "Bacterial small subunit ribosomal RNA", at positions 8 to 526 of the family's 1533-position model. The record is from RNAcentral.
AGAGUUUGAUCAUGGCUCAGAACGAACGCUGGCGGCAUGCCUAACACAUGCAAGUCGAACGCCCCGCAAGGGGAGUGGCGCACGGGUGAGUAACGCGUGGGAACCUGCCCCGGAGUGUGGGAUAACCCGGCGAAAGCCGGGCUAAUACCGCAUACGGCCUAUGGGCGAAAGAUUUAUCGCUCUGGGAGGGGCCCGCGUCGGAUUAGCUAGUUGGUGAGGUAACGGCUCACCAAGGCGAUGAUCCGUAGCUGGUCUGAGAGGAUGAUCAGCCACACUGGGACUGAGACACGGCCCAGACUCCUACGGGAGGCAGCAGUGGGGAAUAUUGGACAAUGGGGGCAACCCUGAUCCAGCAAUGCCGCGUGAGUGAUGAAGGCCUUAGGGUUGUAAAGCUCUUUCGGCGGGGACGAUGAUGACGGUACCCGCAGAAGAAGCCCCGGCUAACUUCGUGCCAGCAGCCGCGGUAAUAC